Molecule: ribosomal RNA, 253 nt
Filed under: uncultured bacterium
Lineage: Bacteria
Description: partial 16S ribosomal RNA
Rfam family: Bacterial small subunit ribosomal RNA
Source: RNAcentral
UACAGAGGUCCCGAGCGUUGUUCGGAUUCAUUGGGCGUAAAGGGUGCGUAGGCGGCGGGGCAAGUCUGAUGUGAAAUCCCGGGGCUCAACCCCGGAACUGCAUUGGAUACUGCCUUGCUAGAGUACUGGAGAGGGAACUGGAAUUUACGGUGUAGCAGUGAAAUGCGUAGAGAUCGUAAGGAACAUCAGUGGCGAAAGCGACUUCCUGGACCAAUACUGACGCUCAUGUGCGAAAGCGUGGGGAGCAAACAGG